GGAAUACCACCAGUGAACUUUAUCCUCAUGAUCCGCGGUCACAGCAAAGUUCGGCGACUUGCUACAGUUUCCUCCCUGGACCAACCAGAAGCUGUCCUUGCUACCGAGUGGGCUUGGUACUGGGAAGAAAAGGAUGAAUGCUGGAACGCAUUUUGGUCAUCAACUGUGGAGGAACUAGAGAGGGUGUACAGUGAUCCCUCUCUUGGCUCAGUGUAUGAGUUCACUGCUGGACGACACACCUAUGAAGUCAAUUUGGAAGACAUGAUCCAGAGUAACAAGAGCUCACACACCCAAAGACUGGUAAGAAGACGUCCGAUCUUCAAAUCUCCCAUAGAU
Long non-coding RNA from Salvelinus fontinalis (brook trout), 336 nucleotides. RefSeq lists it as uncharacterized. The transcript is spliced from 3 exons. The record is from RefSeq and is a predicted model, not a curated record. NCBI's taxonomy places the organism in Eukaryota, Metazoa, Chordata, Actinopteri, Salmoniformes, Salmonidae.